UACGUAGGGAGCAAGCGUUGUCCGGAUUUAUUGGGCGUAAAGAGCUCGUAGGCGGCUUAGAAAGUCAGGUGUGAAACCUCCAGGCUCAACCUGGAGACGCCACUUGAUACUUCUAUGGCUUGAGUUCGGUAGGGGUAAGCGGAAUUCCUGGUGUAGCGGUGAAAUGCGCAGAUAUCAGGAGGAACACCGAUGGCGAAGGCGACACGCUGGGCCGUACCUGACGCUAAGGCGCGACAGCAUGGGGAGCGAACGGG
Molecule: ribosomal RNA, 254 nt
Filed under: uncultured bacterium
Lineage: Bacteria
Description: partial 16S ribosomal RNA
Rfam family: Bacterial small subunit ribosomal RNA
Source: RNAcentral